ACAUGUAAAAUGAUGGCAGUACUUUUAAUAUAGGUUAACGCAGACAGACGCAUUUUGCCGGAAAACGAAUCUGACAUGCCACCUCGAGAUUUUAACCAAGGAAAGACAACUUGAUGUGCUUUGAUUUGAGGGGUCACUCAAUGCUGAACGAAAAUUAGGGACAUUGCUAUGUGAAGAAACGUUAACAUUGCCGCCUAUGGGAAAACAAUUAGUGGGCUGUACCCAAUAUGAGGAGCCUAUUGGAUCAUGGUGAUACAGGACAAUGUCGAGGUUCAUGCAGAUGUGUUUAAAACUAUCAGUCAGUAAAAACA
Molecule: long non-coding RNA, 311 nt
Organism: Saccostrea echinata
Lineage: Eukaryota; Metazoa; Mollusca; Bivalvia; Ostreida; Ostreidae
Exons: 3
Source: RefSeq, a predicted model, not a curated record